CUGAGCUCAACAUUUUUCCAUAAAUCGUACCUUAAUUCUUCUCUCGGUGUCAUCUAACUUUAACUCUGCUGAAACUAGUUUCUUUGCCAAAUCAUCCCGUUCAGGU
This is a long non-coding RNA of Sapajus apella (tufted capuchin), 106 nucleotides long. RefSeq lists it as uncharacterized. The record is from RefSeq and is a predicted model, not a curated record. Lineage: Eukaryota; Metazoa; Chordata; Mammalia; Primates; Cebidae. The transcript is spliced from 3 exons.